Caretta caretta (loggerhead turtle) is the source of this 3359-nucleotide non-coding RNA. NCBI's taxonomy places the organism in Eukaryota, Metazoa, Chordata, Testudines, Cheloniidae. The record is from RefSeq and is a predicted model, not a curated record.
UGGCGGUGGGGGAGCGGAGAGGCCUAGGGGACCUCCCCGGGGUGAGUGGGGAUAGAUCCCGGGGGGCCAGUUCCGCAGGGAACCUCGAGACUAAAUUGCUGCCCCUGGUUAAGGGGGGGGGGGUGUGUGGAUGCCCACCUCACUGCCUUUGAGCAGGCUGGCGAUUUGAACCAAGGGGACCCUGCGGAAAAGCCCCGGUGUCUGGCUCCCUUGCUGGGUCCCAAGGCCAUAGACUCCGUCAGCCAGAUGGUUGGGGAUGUGGACGGGCUCCCACUCCUGACCCCAACCUAUAUGUCUGUGUGGAGUUUCCUGGGGCCAGGCCCCCCGGACCUCCAGUGGGAGCAGAAGGUGAUGGUCAAUGGGGAGACAUUCUUGGGGUGGCCAAAGGGCAUGGGCUGCAUAAACCUUCCCACAUGCGGCCUGCGAGUGCUAUCGACCACCCCUGACCUAAGGGAGGGCGUGAAACUGGAAGGGCCUGGUGUAACUCCUACCAAGGAAUGGGAGAGAUGCUGGGGCAUCCAUGGGAACGUUGGUGGCUUCGAACUUCCCCAGGUCACCGGCUAAAGUGACCCCGCUCAGUUUGAUCUCGAAGGGGGGAGAGAUGUGACGAAGUGGGACUGUUCUUAAUGUUUCCUCUGAAUAGUGUGGGGGUGCCUCAGUUUCCCCUAGGCAGUUCUUAAGUAUCUAGGGGGUGGAGUAAGGGUGUAUGAUCAUUGCAGAGCCCUAGAGGGCAGGUGUGUGCAGGAGUCUGGACACAGAGAAUGGCCGACACCCUGUUUCCUGGCAACUGAUGGCCUGGGCCCUUCCCCCCCUGCAAGUUGAGAGCUGAAGGGUUGGAGAACAAAGGAAUCAGGUGACCACCUGGCCCGGGAAAGGAACAAAGCCCAGAGGAGGAGGGGCUGGAGGGGGUUUCAGUUUGGGGCUGGCUGGGACAUGGAGUGAAGUGCAGACGUGGUUGUCUGGCUCACUGCCCCCCAAAAUGGACCCAGCUGAGGGGUCCCGUUCUCUGCACCUGCAAGCUCUGUGUUAGACCAUGUUCCUGUCGUCUAAUAAACCUUCUGUUUUACUGGCUGGCUGAGAGUCACGUCUGACUGCGAAGUUGGGGUGCAGGACCCUCUGGCUUCCCCAGGAGCCCCACCUGAGCGGACUCGCUGUGGGAAGCGCACGGAGGGGCAGAGGAUGCUGAAUGCUCCAAGGUCAGACCCAGGAAGGUGGAAGCUGAGUGAGCUGCGUGUCCUGAAGACAGGCUGCUCACAGAAAGGCAACUGCCCCAGAGUCCUGACUGGCUUCAUGGGGAGCAGUUCCAGAGCAUCGCCCAGGGACUCCGUGACACCCUGCGAAUGCUGGCCGCCUGUUCCCUAGCAGGACUCUUCCAUGAAGAUUGGCCAAUGAACUGCUGCUAGUUAGGAUUAUUAUUGCAUACUCGGUGCAGCACAAGCAGAAAGGAAGACAGAGUUUGGUCCAUGGAGCUCCAGUCCAAGGGCCUGAUCCUGCUCAGUGGGAGCAGAACGGGAACCCCCCCCUUGACACUGACAAUAUCUGCACAGCCAUGAUGCCGGUGCUGAAUAGCUAAACUUUAAGCAAUUAUUUUUCUUGUUUUAAAACACAAUGGAAUGCCUGUACAUCGACUCUGUUUUUCUAUUGGCUGCCACCAGUGUUGCCUGGUGACGGCUGUGUGCAAACACUCUUUUAAGGAACCCAGAGAGCCAGCUGCUUAAUGAGCCCUGGGAAUCUGCAGGCUACAGGGGAUAGAGCAGAUCCCAGCACUAAGGAAAAAACCUGUAAGGUGCAUUGAGACAGAUCAGCUGAAGGUCUGUUGGGGGUAGACAAGCUGAUGAUAAUGGGUGUGGGAGAUGAAGAUGCUGUCAUCAAGGAAAAAGCACAGAUUUUAAUUGAGGAUGUAAUCAGGGAUGCAAAAGAGCAUCUUCGAGAUUUGCAAGAAAAAGAGAGAGAAGCUGAGUACAUCAUCCAAAACAUUCAAUGGACCUCAUGCAAGGACUUUACAGUGGAGAGGGGACAGCAGCAAAUUGAGGAAUACAUGUCAUCAUCUGUACUAGAGAGUGGAAGACUUAUAGUGUGGUGUAUGUUCAGCAGACGUGGGAGUUUCAUGGGAGCUGGCUUCACUGGUCAGACUACCUCCAGGAACAAGAAUUGACGUACAGCAAGAGGUACCACUACCGGGUUCGCUGGAGCAUCCCAACAUGCAGGAAGCCCAUCCCACGAACAACAGCAUGCAUCUAUUUCAUCAUUGAGAUCUCCAAAAUUAAACCACCUACCUUGCCAGUUGAGGUAUUCUUCAUUUUGGAAUCAAAUAGGUUCAUUCACAGGUAUAUUUUUUUCUGUAGCUUUUUUUAAAGCAAUGAACCAGUAUAGAAGGGCCCUAGCAACGGUGCAUAAACCAUGGUUAAUUUCAGGUAUGUCCAGCUAUAUUAGAAAUGGGUACAGAUAGCCCCCACCCCACCAUAGCUGAGUGUGUCAGGGAAUCAGCGCCAGCAGGCUGAUGCUGUCUGGCCCUGCCCUGCUGUUGGCUGCUCUAACUUACACCAGCUGAGGAUCUUGUGUUUUGGCCAUACUCUCCACCAGGGCUCAGUGGUUGUGACAUAAGUCAACUAUGGUGACACUACAAAUUCUGGGGCCUCCCCCCAGGGAAAAUUCCAGGCUGUUUCUGGCAUUUGUGGCACCAUACGGGUGAAGCGGGGCUAAGAGUCUAAUCCAUGAGGUGUAUGUGGAAUGCUAAUAACAACUCACAGCCUUAUACAAACUGGGAGCCUAACCUAGCUCCACUAGCAUUCGAACAAGAUCUACGUAAAUUUAUCUUUUUAUAUCCCAAGCAAGUUGUAGGACAGCGCUUCAGCAGAGGCAGGAAAGUGAGCUGGCUAUAGCCGAGUUCUUAAAAAAAAAUCCUGUCUAUGCGACUCAGGGAAACCACACUAAAAUCCCACCAGCAAAAAAACACUCAAACCCCACCGAGCUAGCAUAGUUCUUUAUCCCAGCAUGUACAUGUUCCAUGGGUGUCUAUUUCCUGCGUACUGAAUUAGUGAUGGAUUUACACAGGCCUAAAAAGCCUCAUUCUUCCAGGGGAUAGGCUUGCCCACUUCAAAGGGCUUCCUUCCAGCUGCCAGAACUCUGAUUUGCAGCUGACUGCUACCAUUAUUCUUACACUGUUUGUUCUGUUUUUUCUAGACCAGGACAGUGUCGGUUUAGGGAAAAGUGGCUCAAAGACAUCAUUGAAAGCAAGAAAAUUCUCAUGGACAGCAUAACUUUCUAAAUAAACAUUUGCUUCAGAUUAAAUCCAAUUCAAAAGGGCACCUACAAUAUGUUGGUGUUAUAUGGAAAUAAACUAAGGGCACUGGAACAGG